AAAGAUCUAAAUAAGUUCUAUUGUUUUUGUUUCAAAAAAAUUUUAUAAAUUUAUUUAGUUGUGAAAUUCCAAUCGCUUUUAUUAAUAUCUAGUAACUUUAGAAAUAAAUUUAGUUUAGAAUAAUUAGGAAAUUUUUAUUAAAUAUUUUUUCUUGAUUUAUUUUUAAGUCUUUGGGGAUGAGCUCARAGAUUAAUUUAUAAGGAUAAAAAUUAUUUUAUUUUAUUUAUAGGCUUAGAAUUAGCCAUUUGAUAUUGUUAUAAAAUAUAAUCUAAAUUUUUUGAUUUUUUUUUCUUUUUGUUUUAUAAAGUUAAUUAAUAAACUACAUAAAUUUUGAGAAUAUGAUAACAUUAGUAGAUAAGUAAAUAUUGAUUUUUUUUUAAAUUUAUCUUUAUAAAUUUAAAUUAAUAAUUUUAACAAAAGAACUCGGCAAAUAAAAUUUCCGAAUGUUUAACAAAAACAUUUCCUCCUAGUUUAGGAGGUAAAGCCUGCUCACUGAGAAUUUAAAGAGCCGCAGUAUCCUAACUGUGCUAAGGUAGCAUAAUCAUUAGUCUUUUAAUUGGAGACUGGUAUGAAUGGCUUAACGAGAAAUUGACUUUUUUUGUUAAAAAAAUUGAACUUAAUUUUUUAGUGAAAAAGCUAAAAUAAUUCAGAAAGACGAGAAGACCCUAUAGAGUUUUAUAUUUUGUAAUAUUUAUUUUUAUUAGAUUUUUAAAAAGUAAGUAUGUAGAAAUAUUUUGUUGGGGCGACAUUUAGAUAAAAAAAACUCUUUAUUUUUAUAAUUUUAAUAAAAAUUUUGUUUGAUCCUUUAUAAAAGAUCAAAAGAAAAAAUUACCUUAGGGAUAACAGCGUAAUCUUUUUUGAGAGUUCUAAUCGACAAAAAGGUUUGCGACCU
RNAcentral lists this ribosomal RNA (892 nucleotides) under Cionophorus soongi. Its description in RNAcentral is "partial 16S large subunit ribosomal RNA". The stretch from base 407 to 608 matches the Rfam family "Bacterial large subunit ribosomal RNA", at positions 1697 to 2031 of the family's 2925-position model. The record is from RNAcentral. Lineage: Eukaryota; Metazoa; Arthropoda; Thecostraca; Balanomorpha; Pyrgomatidae.